This 514-nucleotide ribosomal RNA is filed under the name uncultured bacterium. RNAcentral's name for it is "partial 16S ribosomal RNA". It matches the Rfam family "Bacterial small subunit ribosomal RNA", at positions 28 to 523 of the family's 1533-position model. The record is from RNAcentral.
GACGAACGCUGGCGGCGUGCCUAACACAUGCAAGUCGAACGGAGAAUUAGCAAUAAUUCUUAGUGGCGAACGGGUGAGUAACGCGUAGACAACCUACCCUUUAGAUGGGGACAACACCGCGAAAGUGGUGCUAAAACCGAAUAUUGCUUGAGAAGCGCAUGCUUUUCAAACUAAAGAUGGCCUCUAUUUAUAAGCUAUCGCUAAAGAAUGUGUCUGCGUCUGAUUAGCUAGUUGGUGAGAUAAAAGCUCACCGAGGCAACGAUCAGUAGCCGGUCUGAGAGGAUGAACGGCCACACUGGGACUGAGACACGGACCAGACUCAUACGGGAGGCAGUAGUGGGGAAUCUUCCGCAAUGGAAGAAAGUCUGACGGAGCAAUGCCGCGUGAGUGAUGAAGGUUUUCGGAUCGUAAAACUCUGUUGUUAAGGACGAAUGUAUAGAUUGUGAAUAAUGGUUUAUAAUGACGGUACUUAACGAGGAAGCCACGGCUAACUACGUGCCAGCAGCCGCAGUAA